AACGCGAAGAACCUUACCAGGUCUUGACAUCCGGCUAACGAAGUAGAGAUACAUCAGGUGCCCUUCGGGGAAAGCCGAGACAGGUGGUGCAUGGUUGUCGUCAGCUCGUGUCGUGAGAUGUUGGGUUAAGUCCCGCAACGAGCGCAACCCUUGCUGUUAGUUGCUACGCAAGAGCACUCUAACAGGACUGCCGUUGACAAAACGGAGGAAGGUGGGGACGACGUCAAAUCAUCAUGCCCCUUAUGACCUGGGCUACACACGUACUACAAUGGCCGCAAACAAAGGGAAGCAAGACUGUGAAGUGGAGCGAAACCCGAAAAGCGGUCCCAGUUCGGAUUGCAGGCUGCAACCCGCCUGCAUGAAGUCGGAAUUGCUAGUAAUCGCGGAUCAGCAUGCCGCGGUGAAUACGUUCCCGGGUCUUGUACACA
This 428-nucleotide ribosomal RNA is filed under the name uncultured bacterium. RNAcentral's name for it is "bacterial SSU rRNA". It matches the Rfam family "Bacterial small subunit ribosomal RNA", at positions 958 to 1389 of the family's 1533-position model. The record is from RNAcentral.